UGUACCAGCAUAUUUUGAUGAUGCUCAAAGAAAUGCAACUAAAGAUGCCGGUAGCAUUGCAGGUUUGAACGUUCAGCGAAUAAUCAACGAACCUACAGCUGCUUCCUUAGCUUAUGGUUUUGAUAAAAGCGACAACUCCAUAAUUUUUGUAUUCGAUGCCGGUGGUGGUACUUUUGAUGUCUCACUAUUGGAAGCAGGGGAUGGCGUUUUUGAAGUUAUUCAAACCGGAGGAGAUAGUUCUCUCGGGGGAGAUGAUAUUGAUAACAAAAUAAUGAACUGGUUAUGUAGAGGAUUUCAGAAAAAGUAUAAUAUAGACUUACGGGAUGAUCCAAAAACAAUUCAAAGAUUGAAAGAGGCAGCUGAAAAAGCUAAACUAGAAUUAUCAAGCGUAUCCUCGGCCCCCAUCAACUUACCUUUUAUUGCUAAUGAUGGAGGUAAACCAAGGCAUCUAUUAACACAGUUAUCUAGAGAAACACUUAACGAACUUAUAGCUAGUCUUAUACUUAAAUUUAAAGCUCCUAUGGUUGAAGUCCUAUCGGAGGCUAAUCUCUCUCCCUCUGAUAUUGACCAUGUAAUUCUAGUAGGUGGCACUACUAGGAUACCUAUUAUCCAGGAACUAGUUCAGAAAUAUUUAGAACAACCAGCGAAUUGCACAAUAAAUCCUGAUGAAGUUGUGGCACUAGGAGCUGCGAUACAAGCAAGUGUAAUAGGAGGUGUAACAUCAGAUAUUGUGUUAAUCGAUGUGACUCCACUAUCACUAGGUUUAGAGACAUUAGGAGGUGUAAAUACAAAACUAAUACCAAGAAAUACAUCUCUGCCUACAUCCAAAACUGAAGUCUUCUCAACCGCAAUCGACAAUCAAAAUUCUGUUGAGAUAAACGUACUACAAGGAGAAAGAGAUUUCGCAGCUAAUUGUAAACCUCUAGGAACAUUUAAACUAUCGGGAAUACCACCAGCGCCAAGAGGAACCCCACAAAUCGAAGUAAAUUUUCAGUUAGAUGUUAAUGGGAUACUAAAGGUAAUUGCAACGGAUAAAACAUCAGGAGCAAGCAAAGAUCUAGAAAUAAAAGACUCAAACCAAAGAAGCAAGGAAGAGAUCGAUCAGAUCAUUGAAGAUGCCCAGAAGUAUUCAGGCGAGGAUAAGGCCGAAAAGGAAUUUGUCGAGAUUAAAAAUAACGCCGAGGCUCUCAUUUACGAAGCUCAGAGGAAGCUACAAGAAGACAGCGAACUUGCAAAAUCUGAGAAAGCUUCACAGAUACAGUCUACCAUCGAUGCCCUGCGAUCCGGUCUGAACAGUAAAGACAGGUCUGCCAUAACCCAACUCAUGAGUGAACUACAAACUCUACUUCAAUAAUAACCAUGGCCUUACAGAAGGUCGCUCGCUAUUAUAUUUGACAAGACUUUACUAAUUAAAGCCUAUAAUUAACUUUUUUUUGUUUUAGGAUUAUUCACUUAAUAUUUACCUUACUCCCUUUUUCUAACCACCGUAUAGAGAUGAGUGCAUGUACAUUCAAAGAGCACCUUCAGACACGGUGGUAAAAAAACCUCAAUGUUUCACAUGACUCUUACUAGAACAUACCUGGACGAUCUGUGACCACAGGAGAAGCUAUUUCUCUACAAGACGUAGGGGUGCACACCCCUACUCCUACUUUGCGUUUACAGGACUCCUCUGUCUCUCUUAUCAACUGAAGUUUGGAGGUGCUUGAUAUAGAAAUAGUCUCCUCCUUUUGGAUGUAUCUCAAGAAAGCCAAAGACAUCUCAAAAAAUGCUCCGAAUCAAAUUCAAGGAAUGCAAC
This 1795-nucleotide ribosomal RNA is filed under the name Bigelowiella natans. Its description in RNAcentral is "Eukaryotic small subunit ribosomal RNA". Lineage: Eukaryota; Cercozoa; Chlorarachniophyceae. The record is from RNAcentral.